AAAGAAAAAAAUUCCAAACCUCGCCCAAAAAAAAAAAACCCCCUUUUCUAAAUGUUUGCCCUCCUCUCCCCUAAAUAAAAAAAAAAUCACUCAAUCAAAAAUAUUUAGUUCCUUAUGGACUAUUUUAAUCUCUUAUUUGCUUAAUUAUUUAUUUAUUUUGAGCAUAAUAUAGUUUGCUAUUUUUUUACUUAAUUAGCUUAAUUUUGUAGCUCUUUAUUCUUAUAUUCUUAAAAAAUAUGAGUAUUUAUGCUAAUUGCAUAAGUCUUGCGAGAAAAGAAAACUUAAUUUAAUAGCCGAAUUUUUUAUCCCGAAUUUUUAAUUAGUGAACGUAUAAUAUUCGUAUAAAUCACGUAUCCGAAUAAUUGGCGAAUCCUUUUUUUAGCUGUAUUUUUCAACGAAUUUAAAAGUUAGAAAACGAAUUUUAUCUGAAUUAUAUCCGUACCGAAUUUUUGCCAAAUCCGAAUUAACUAACUAUGAUUGGGUCACAUCAAAAAUAUGGAUCCUAUAGACAAAUUAAGCCACGAACUAAUGGAAGGUUGCCAAAUAUUUGAUAAGAAUUUUGGACGCGUAAACCGACUCUAAAAUAUAUAUGAAAAAUAAAUUUAUGUUGUAUAAAAAAUUAUUUAAAUAAAAAAAAGGCUUGAUAUAUGGUUGGUAUCUGAGAUCCAAGUUCGAAUCCUAGUUGAUUCAUAUUUCCAGCUAAGUUUAUUUCUAAAUGAAAUAAACGAAGUGGGAAGCAUGCUACCUAUCUCUAAAAAAAAAUAUAUUUUAUAUUAUAUUUUAUUUUAUAGUUCUAAUUAUCAGAUAUUCUAUCAAUUAUCUAAUAUAUUGUAUGGUGUAUGAAGCAUAAAUAUACAUCGGGUGCAAGCAAAAAUUUUUUCUCUUUCUCUUUUGAAAUUAUGAGUACACCCUAUAAACAUUCUUUAACCGGGUAUAUAUGUGUACAUAUAUCACAUACUUAAAAAAACUUUAAUAAAAAUUUUAAAAUAUAAUUUAUUAAAUAUAAUUUAAAUUAUUAUACUUUUUAGAUCAUAUAUAUUUAAUUAAAUUUCGAUAUUAGAAUAUCAGUCAUCUAAUAUAAGUUGCGGUGUAUCCAGUGUUAAUGUACCACAUG
Molecule: long non-coding RNA, 1114 nt
Filed under: Ananas comosus (pineapple)
Lineage: Eukaryota; Viridiplantae; Streptophyta; Magnoliopsida; Poales; Bromeliaceae
Description: long non-coding RNA (ACOM_LNC019202)
Source: RNAcentral